RNAcentral lists this ribosomal RNA (468 nucleotides) under uncultured bacterium. Its description in RNAcentral is "partial 16S ribosomal RNA". It matches the Rfam family "Bacterial small subunit ribosomal RNA", at positions 28 to 507 of the family's 1533-position model. The record is from RNAcentral.
GACGAACGCUGGCGGCGUGCUUAACACAUGCAAGUCGAACGGAAAGGCCCUGCUUUUGUGGGGUGCUCGAGUGGCGAACGGGUGAGUAACACGUGAGUAACCUGCCCUUGACUUUGGGAUAACUUCAGGAAACUGGGGCUAAUACCGGAUAGGAGCUCCUGCUGCAUGGUGGGGGUUGGAAAGUUUCGGCGGUUGGGGAUGGACUCGCGGCUUAUCAGCUUGUUGGUGGGGUAGUGGCUUACCAAGGCUUUGACGGGUAGCCGGCCUGAGAGGGUGACCGGCCAAAAUGGGACUGAGGAACGGCCCAGAAUCCUACGGGAGGCAGCAGUGGGGAAUAUUGCACAAUGGGCGGAAGCCUGAUGCAGCAACGCCGCGUGCGGGAUGACGGCCUUCGGGUUGUAAACCGCUUUCGCCUGUGACGAAGCGUGAGUGACGGUAAUGGGUAAAGAAGCACCGGCUAACUACGUG